Molecule: ribosomal RNA, 255 nt
Filed under: uncultured bacterium
Lineage: Bacteria
Description: partial 16S ribosomal RNA
Rfam family: Bacterial small subunit ribosomal RNA
Source: RNAcentral
GUCCACGCCGUAAACGAUGGAUACUAGCUGUUGGGAGCAAUCUCAGUGGCUAAGCGAAAGUGAUAAGUAUCCCACCUGGGGAGUACGAACGCAAGUUUGAAACUCAAAGGAAUUGACGGGGGCCCGCACAAGCGGUGGAGCAUGUGGUUUAAUUCGAUGAUACGCGAGGAACCUUACCAAGGCUUAAAUGUAGAUUGCCCGAUUUGGAAACAGAUUUUUCGCAAGACAAUUUACAAGGUGCUGCAUGGUUGUCGU